RNAcentral lists this ribosomal RNA (468 nucleotides) under uncultured bacterium. Its description in RNAcentral is "partial 16S ribosomal RNA". It matches the Rfam family "Bacterial small subunit ribosomal RNA", at positions 28 to 507 of the family's 1533-position model. The record is from RNAcentral.
GACGAACGCUGGCGGCGUGCUUAACACAUGCAAGUCGAACGGAAAGGCCCUGCUUUUGUGGGGUGCUCGAGUGGCGAACGGGUGAGUAACACGUGAGUAACCUGCCCUUGACUUUGGGAUAACUUCAGGAAAAUGGGGCUAAUACCGGAUAGGAGCUCCUGCUGCAUGGUGGGGGUUGGAAAGUUUCGGCGGUUGGGGAUGGACUCGCGGCUUAUCAGCUUGUUGGUGGGGUAGUGGCUUACCAAGGCUUUGACGGGUAGCCGGCCUGAGAGGGUGACCGGCCACAUUGGGACUGAGAUACGGCACAGACUCCUACGGGAGGCAGCAGUGGGGAAUAUUGCACAAUGGGCGGAAGCCUGAUGCAGCAACGCCGCGUGCGGGAUGACGGCCUUCGGGUUGUAAACCGCUUUCGCCUGUGACGAAGCGUGAGUGACGGUAAUGGGUAAAGAAGCACCGGCUAACUACGUG